Molecule: non-coding RNA, 106 nt
Organism: Gossypium hirsutum (cotton)
Lineage: Eukaryota; Viridiplantae; Streptophyta; Magnoliopsida; Malvales; Malvaceae
Source: Rfam
ACCCCAUGAUGAGGACACUUACGAAUCAAAUCUUUGAAUCUUUCCCACACCUCGUAUAAGGACUCAUCAUCCAAUUGUUGAAAAGUAUUUAUCUCAUGUUGUAACU